This 453-nucleotide ribosomal RNA is filed under the name Escherichia coli O25b:H4-ST131. RNAcentral describes it as "partial 23S ribosomal RNA". It matches the Rfam family "Bacterial large subunit ribosomal RNA", at positions 2318 to 2770 of the family's 2925-position model. Lineage: Bacteria; Pseudomonadati; Pseudomonadota; Gammaproteobacteria; Enterobacterales; Enterobacteriaceae. The record is from RNAcentral.
UGGCUAAUCCUGGUCGGACAUCAGGAGGUUAGUGCAAUGGCAUAAGCCAGCUUGACUGCGAGCGUGACGGCGCGAGCAGGUGCGAAAGCAGGUCAUAGUGAUCCGGUGGUUCUGAAUGGAAGGGCCAUCGCUCAACGGAUAAAAGGUACUCCGGGGAUAACAGGCUGAUACCGCCCAAGAGUUCAUAUCGACGGCGGUGUUUGGCACCUCGAUGUCGGCUCAUCACAUCCUGGGGCUGAAGUAGGUCCCAAGGGUAUGGCUGUUCGCCAUUUAAAGUGGUACGCGAGCUGGGUUUAGAACGUCGUGAGACAGUUCGGUCCCUAUCUGCCGUGGGCGCUGGAGAACUGAGGGGGGCUGCUCCUAGUACGAGAGGACCGGAGUGGACGCAUCACUGGUGUUCGGGUUGUCAUGCCAAUGGCACUGCCCGGUAGCUAAAUGCGGAAGAGAUAAGUG